CUAUAAACUUGCCAGCAUCUUAUGAUCUAAAAAGUUAUUUUUUAAUUUAUUUCUCACAGAACAAAACCUAUAUCUUCCAAUCUAAAAUUAGACUGUGAGACUGUCUUAUCCUGAAGCCAAUCAUAGGUUUCAAAAAACAAAAACUGUUUGCAGGACCUGAAGAGCUGUUGCACACUCUUGGUCUUCUCAGCUGUAUUUCUACAUUCUGGGGUCAAUAUGGAGCUCGUAUGCUAACAAUAUCUGUCAGGAUCUCAGGCCUAUGUGCAUGGUCCCAGGCUUACAAGGUUUCAGGGAUGAACAGCUGCUGGUUAAGUUGCAAUGUACCCAGGAGAAAUGAUGCUGGAAAACAACUACUUCUGCCUUCAUUGAGAUCUCUGUCAUCAGCUGCCAGACUUUGUAAAUGACCAAUCAGGCUUUAAAAGAUAACAUCUCAUCUGGAACAUUCCUGGGUAAAUAUGUAGCCCUCCCCAUUACAGUGUGAUUACCUCAAAUUAAAUUCUGCUUGUCUCCUGUCUUUGCAGCACUCAGUAAAAACCCUAAUGAAGAGCAAUGCUGAGAUUUUCAUUAGUGACUCUGAAGAAGAGCUUUGGCAAUAACACAACUGCCAUAAGGGUUCUUUCACCAUAGAUAUCAUAUGCAUAUGCCACAAGGAGAAUAAAAUAUCCUCUAAGGUCCUCUAAGGUCA
Molecule: long non-coding RNA, 685 nt
Filed under: Cyanistes caeruleus (blue tit)
Lineage: Eukaryota; Metazoa; Chordata; Aves; Passeriformes; Paridae
Description: lncRNA (ENSCCEG00000014512.1)
Source: RNAcentral